UACGGAGGGUGCAAGCGUUAUCCGGAUUCACUGGGUUUAAAGGGUGCGUAGGUGGGCAGGUAAGUCAGUGGUGAAAUCUCCGAGCUUAACUUGGAAACUGCCGUUGAUACUAUCUGUCUUGAAUACCGUGGAGGUGAGCGGAAUAUGUCAUGUAGCGGUGAAAUGCUUAGAUAUGACAUAGAACACCAAUUGCGAAGGCAGCUCACUACACGAGCAUUGACUCUGAGGCACGAAAGCGUGGGGAUCAAACAGG
This 253-nucleotide ribosomal RNA is filed under the name uncultured bacterium. Its description in RNAcentral is "partial 16S ribosomal RNA". It matches the Rfam family "Bacterial small subunit ribosomal RNA", at positions 524 to 776 of the family's 1533-position model. The record is from RNAcentral.